Molecule: ribosomal RNA, 515 nt
Filed under: uncultured bacterium
Lineage: Bacteria
Description: bacterial SSU rRNA
Rfam family: Bacterial small subunit ribosomal RNA
Source: RNAcentral
UGGGGAAUCUUGCACAAUGGGCGAAAGCCUGAUGCAGCAACGCCGCGUGCGGGAAGACAGCCCUAGGGUUGUAAACCGCUUUCAGCAGGGAAGAAACUGACGGUACCUGCAGAAGAAGAUGCGGCCAACUACGUGCCAGCAGCCGCGGUGACACGUAGGCAUCAAGCGUUAUCCGGAUUUAUUGGGCGUAAAGAGCUCGUAGGCGGUUCGGUAAGUCGGGUGUGAAAACUCUGGGCUCAACCCAGAGAGGCCACUCGAUACUGCUGUGACUAGAGUGCGGUAGGGGAGCGGGGAAUUCCUGGUGUAGCGGUGAAAUGCGCAGAUAUCAGGAGGAACACCAGUGGCGAAGGCGCCGCUCUGGGCCGUAACUGACGCUGAGGAGCGAAAGCAUGGGUAGCAAACAGGAUUAGAUACCCUGGUAGUCCACGCCGUAAACGAUGUCUGCUAGUCGUUGGGGGCGUAGCCCUUCAGUGACGGCCGCUAACGCAUUAAGCAGACCGCCUGGGAGUACGGCC